CCGGCGACCGGCGCACGGGUGAGUAACACGUAUCCAACCUGCCUCAUACUCGGGGAUAGCCUUUCGAAAGAAAGAUUAAUACCCGAUGUUAUAGUCCUACCGCAUGAUGGGAUUAUUAAAGAAUUUCGGUAUGGGAUGGGGAUGCGUUCCAUUAGUUAGUUGGCGGGGUAACGGCCCACCAAGACAACGAUGGAUAGGGGUUCUGAGAGGAAGGUCCCCCACAUUGGAACUGAGACACGGUCCAAACUCCUACGGGAGGCAGCAG
Molecule: ribosomal RNA, 265 nt
Filed under: uncultured bacterium
Lineage: Bacteria
Description: partial 16S ribosomal RNA
Rfam family: Bacterial small subunit ribosomal RNA
Source: RNAcentral